Molecule: transfer RNA, 65 nt
Filed under: Loxocera lunata
Lineage: Eukaryota; Metazoa; Arthropoda; Insecta; Diptera; Psilidae
Also listed under: 2 other names
Description: tRNA-Tyr
Source: RNAcentral
GAUUAAAUGGCUGAAUUUAGGCGAUAGAUUGUAAAUCUAUUUAUAAGAUAUUUUCUUUUUAAUCA